AAAACUUAAUUGGAAAUCUGUGUUGUAGAAUGUGAAAAGUGCUAUGAUGUUUGGAACUUUAAGUUGUAGCCUUGGUCAUUAAAGUGCUCAAUAGCAAUUCAGAAACUUGUCAUGGUUGUGGAAAGGUGACAUUGGUGACCACACUGAAUACCAGGAAUGAGAGGGUUUUCUGCACUCUGCACCACAAGUAAGAAUUUUUAUUAUGUCUAGUUAUUUACUUUAAAACUGUAAUUUAUUAGAUGGCAGCAGUUGUCAUUUUAACUUGGAGUUUACGUUAUUUCCAAAUGUGGAUGACCUUUGAAGAGUAAAUCUGACAUGAUUGUGGAAUAUAUUGCUCUUCUGUUCCCAGUGUUGGAUACCGUUUAUAUUAAGGUUGCCUAAAUGCAAGAGCAUUGAUGCUAAAAAGGAGAGAGAGGUAAAUUUUUAAUACUAAAGUUUGCAGCCUACCAAAGAUUGAUGAAACACUAAUCAAUUAUUUUGUAUUAGGGAUUGAUAGGAUGGGGUUUUCUAAUAUAAUAAAAUAAAGCAUUGUAGGUGACUAAUUUUAGGUCACUGAUUUUGGAGACUAAUUUUAGUGUCUGUGUGUGCAUAAUCAUUUUUCUCAGGUUGAUCUGUCCAUAGGUGGCAAGAACUUUUCUAUGCACACGUGCAGAUAAAAAAAUGGACAAAGUGUAAGAACUGCUUCCUAGUGUCAGCUCAUAUAGCAUGUGCACGUUUCUCCAGAAUGGCAUUUUUCUGUUGAUAUUUUGUUUGUAUCUGUGAACUUCUGAUAAGAAAGGGAUGAUUUUCUUAAUCUUCAUACAUGUGCCAAAACAGUCUCAAUCUUACUGUAUAGGAUGUUAAAUAAUAUGGUUAUUAUAAUAUUUCUUAAUCUAGAAAAAUGUUCAUUGACUUUAUGAGAAGUGAAGAAUUAAGUUUCUUAACUACUUGAUUUCACCCAUACGUGGAAUACACUUUUUUCUCAUCUUCCCAGUGUAACUUACAAAUUUUUAAAUUGUAUGAACAUUGUGCAAAUUAUUGUCUGUAUGUAAAAUUAAAUCUGUAUGUAAAAUGAAAUAGCUGAGCAUUGAGACAUGGUAUGAUUAGAUCUUCUUUUCCUUACCAUUGUUUUGUUUUUUCUUGGAGUUAAAUUUUAUUUUUCCAGCUUUCAGUAACCGUAUCAAAAAGUCAUACUCAAAUUCUAUACUAAAAUAUCUUCUCAAGAUUUACAUACACAUUCAUCAGUCCCUCAAAUUCAUCUACAAGUUUUUUUAAUCCCUGGGGUUUAGAAGUGGUUAGAGUGUACCCCAUUUUUGGAGCUGGGUGCUUUGCCCUUGUUGGUUCUCCUCACCUUUUUGAUAAUAGUGUUAGCAGCCCAUUCAUUAACAUCUGUUGAACCA
RNAcentral lists this long non-coding RNA (1379 nucleotides) under Homo sapiens (human). RNAcentral's name for it is "HSALNT0175145". Lineage: Eukaryota; Metazoa; Chordata; Mammalia; Primates; Hominidae. The record is from RNAcentral.